GGGGAUAUGGCGAAAUCGGUAGACGCUACGGACUUAAUUGAAUUGAGCCUUGGUAUGGAAACUCACUAAGUGAUAACUUUCAAAUUCAGAGAAACCCUGGAAUUAAUAAAAAGGGGCAAUCCUGAGCCAAAUCCCGUUUUCCGAAACCAAAGGUUCAGAAAGUGAAAAGGGGAUAGGUGCAGAGACUCAACGGAAGCUGUUCUAACAAAUGGAGUUGGCUGCAUUAGUAGAGAAAUCUUUCCAUCUAAAAUUCCGAAAGGGUAAAGUGAAGGAUAAACGUAUAUAUACGUAUUGAAUACUAUGUCAAAUGAUUAAUGACGACUCGACUUAAUCUGUAUUUUUUAUAUGAAAACGGAAGAAUUGGUGUGAAUAGAUUCCACAUUGAAGAAAGAAUCGAAUAUUCAUUGAUCAAAUGAUUCACUCCAUAGUCUGAUAGAUCUUUUCAAGAAUUGAUUAAUCGGACGAGAAUAAAGAUAGAGUCCUGUUCUACAUGUCAAUGUCGGCAACAAUGAAAUUUAUAGUAAGAGGAAAAUCCGUCGACUUUAAAAAUCGUGAGGGUUCAAGUCCCUCUAUCCCCAA
This 579-nucleotide non-coding RNA is filed under the name Robbrechtia grandifolia. RNAcentral's name for it is "transfer RNA-Leu". The stretch from base 26 to 503 matches the Rfam family "Group I catalytic intron". Rfam says of the family: Group I catalytic introns are large self-splicing ribozymes. The record is from RNAcentral. Lineage: Eukaryota; Viridiplantae; Streptophyta; Magnoliopsida; Gentianales; Rubiaceae.